CGCUAUCAUCCUACGGGAGGCAGCAGUGGGGAAUAUUGCACAAUGGGGGAAACCCUGAUGCAGCCAUGCCGCGUGUGUGAAGAAGGCCUUCGGGUUGUAAAGCACUUUCAGUUAGGGAGGAAGGUAGUGUAGUUAACACCUGCACUAUUUGACGUUACCUACAGAAGAAGCACCGGCUAACUCCGUGCCAGCAGCCGCGGUAAUACGGAGGGUGCGAGCGUUAAUCGGAAUUACUGGGCGUAAAGCGCAUGCAGGCGGCCUGUUAAGUCAGAUGUGAAAGCCCGGGGCUUAACCUCGGAAUUGCAUUUGAAACUGGCAGGCUAGAGUCUUGUAGAGGGGGUAGAAUUUCAGGUGUAGCGGUGAAAAUGCGUAGAGAUCUGAAGGAAUACCAGUGGCGAAGGCGGCCCCCUGGACAAAGACUGACGCUCAGAUGCGAAAGCGUGGGGAGCAAACAGGAUUAGAUACCCUGGUAG
This 473-nucleotide ribosomal RNA is filed under the name uncultured bacterium. RNAcentral's name for it is "bacterial SSU rRNA". It matches the Rfam family "Bacterial small subunit ribosomal RNA", at positions 329 to 793 of the family's 1533-position model. The record is from RNAcentral.